Molecule: ribosomal RNA, 775 nt
Filed under: uncultured Neocallimastigales
Lineage: Eukaryota; Fungi; Neocallimastigomycota; Neocallimastigomycetes; Neocallimastigales
Description: partial large subunit ribosomal RNA
Rfam family: Eukaryotic large subunit ribosomal RNA
Source: RNAcentral
CGUCUAUAUACGUAUAGCAUAUCAAUAAGCGGAGGAAAAGAAACUAACAAGGAUUCCCUUAGUAACGGCGAGUGAAGCGGGAAGAGCUCAAAUUUGAAAUCUUCAAGGUUCUACCUUGACGAAUUGUAGUUUAAAGAAGUGUUUUCUGUUAGAGGAGUGGCAAAAGUUCCUUGGAAUAGGACAUCAUAGAGGGUGAGAAUCCCGUAUUUGGUCAUUCUUUCUAGCUGUGUGAUACACUUUCAAAGAGUCGGAUUGUUUGGGAAUGCAGUCCAAAAUGGGUGGUAAAUUUCAUCUAAAGCUAAAUAUUGGCGAGAGACCGAUAGCGAACAAGUACCGUGAGGGAAAGAUGAAAGGAACUUUGAAAAGAGAGUUAAACAGUACGUGAAAUUGUCAAAAGGGAAGCGUUUGACACCAGCGUUGUUUUUCCGAAAAUCAAUUAAGAGUGGCUUGAUUUUGUGUUGUAUUGACCUUAUCAGCUUUCUUCACUCUUUUUCGAGUCUUUCUUAAUGCACUUUUCGGUUAACAAGUCAACAUCAAUUUCUUUUGUUGUAAAAGGGUAUUUGGAAGGUGGCUUUCUUUUCGGAGAAAGUGUUUAUAGCCUUAUACCUCUACAAUCGGAGAGAUUGAGGUCUGCAGCGUAGAUCCUUCGGGGCUAGAUACACUUGUGCUAAGUUAUAGCUUUUCAUAGACAACUUGUUGACUAUGUUUAGUCAUGUAGCUUACCCGCUUGUGCUAUUUUACCUACGCUUAGGAUGUUGAGUCAUCACACAUCUCU